This 771-nucleotide ribosomal RNA is filed under the name uncultured bacterium. RNAcentral describes it as "bacterial SSU rRNA". It matches the Rfam family "Bacterial small subunit ribosomal RNA", at positions 8 to 796 of the family's 1533-position model. The record is from RNAcentral.
AGAGUUUGAUCCUGGCUCAGGACGAACGCUGGCGGCGUGCUUAACACAUGCAAGUCGAACGGAAAGGCCCUUCGGGGUACUCGAGUGGCGAACGGGUGAGUAACACGUGGGUGAUCUGCCCUGCACUCUGGGAUAAGCCUGGGAAACUGGGUCUAAUACCGGAUAGGACCACACACUUCAUGGUGAGUGGUGCAAAGCUUUUGCGGUGUGGGAUGAGCCCGCGGCCUAUCAGCUUGUUGGUGGGGUAAUGGCCCACCAAGGCGACGACGGGUAGCCGGCCUGAGAGGGUGACCGGCCACACUGGGACUGAGAUACGGCCCAGACUCCUACGGGAGGCAGCAGUGGGGAAUAUUGCACAAUGGGCGCAAGCCUGAUGCAGCGACGCCGCGUGAGGGAUGACGGCCUUCGGGUUGUAAACCUCUUUCAGUAGGGACGAAGCGAAAGUGACGGUACCUACAGAAGAAGGACCGGCCGACUACGUGCCAGCAGCCGCGGUAAUACGUAGGGUCCGAGCGUUGUCCGGAAUUACUGGGCGUAAAGAGCUCGUAGGUGGUUUGUCGCGUUGUUCGUGAAAACUCACAGCUUAACUGUGGGCGUGCGGGCGAUACGGGCAGACUUGAGUACUGCAGGGGAGACUGGAAUCCCUGGUGUAGCGGUGGAAUGCGCAGAUAUCGGGAGGAACACCGGUGGCGAAGGCGGGUCUCUGGGCAGUAACUGACGCUGAGGAGCGAAAGCGUGGGGAGCGAACAGGAUUAGAUACCCUGGUAGUCC